AGGGGCUGGCUUUCCUCCGGC
RNAcentral lists this microRNA (21 nucleotides) under Cervus elaphus (red deer). Its description in RNAcentral is "Cel-miR-185-3p". The record is from RNAcentral. Lineage: Eukaryota; Metazoa; Chordata; Mammalia; Artiodactyla; Cervidae. RNAcentral also lists the same sequence under 1 other name.